GCAGCGGCUGGAGAGGCCCCGCGGGCACUGUCCCAGAAGGAGCAGGACAUACAGAUGAUGCUCGCCGCCGGCGUCCACCUCGGCACCAAGAACUGGGACUUCCAGAUGGAGCGCUACGCCUACAAGCGCCGCUCCGACGGCAUCUACAUCAUCAAUCUGGGCAAGACGUGAGAGAAGCUCCAGCUCGCGGCGAGGGUCAUCGUGGCCAUCGAGAACCCCCAGGACAUCAUCGUCUAGUCCGCCCGCCCCUACGACCAGCACGUCGUCCUCAAGUUCGCGCAGCACACCGGCGGUAACGCCAUCACCGGGAUGCACACCCCUGGUACCUUCACUAACCAGAUGCAGAGCUCCUUCAGCGAGCCCCGCCUGCUCAUCCUCACUGACCCAAGGUUCGACCACCAGCCCAUCAAGGAGUCUGCUCUGGGGAACAUCCCUACCAUUGCCUUCUGUGACACUGACUCUCCCAUGCGAUACGUCGAUAUCGGCAUCCUAGCAAACAACAAGGGGAGGAACAUCAUUGGCUGCCUCUAUUGGCUCAUGACCAGGAUGGUUCUGCAGAUGCCCGGAGAUCGACCGUCCUUGCAUGAUGUACGGUUCUGUUAG
RNAcentral lists this ribosomal RNA (603 nucleotides) under Triticum aestivum (bread wheat). Its description in RNAcentral is "partial small subunit ribosomal RNA". The record is from RNAcentral. Lineage: Eukaryota; Viridiplantae; Streptophyta; Magnoliopsida; Poales; Poaceae.